This 600-nucleotide long non-coding RNA is filed under the name Triticum aestivum (bread wheat). Its description in RNAcentral is "long non-coding RNA (TAES_LNC000662)". Lineage: Eukaryota; Viridiplantae; Streptophyta; Magnoliopsida; Poales; Poaceae. The record is from RNAcentral.
GUAUGAUCCGUAACUCAUAGACACAUGAGUAGCGAUGGAUACUAUUUGGUAUGAACAACAUCAUCAUCUUGCAAUUCUAACAUGUAUUCAUUAACUUAUUUAUCCACAUAAUAGUGAUGCAUCUUACGUUUCUGUCUAUUGUAUCUGAAUCUAAAAUGCAAUUAACUCCUUAAUUUGCCUUCAGCAGGAUUGAGCGAUCUGGCAUGUAAGCUUAGCUCGGUGGUUCAGAUUAUCACUGUUAGUCUUCUGGUCGUGGCAAUUUUUAGACCUCUUGAGGUAGCUCAACGAAUCUGGUGUGAAGCUAUGAAGGGAUUUUUCUUGAAAACAAUACUGAAAGGAUACCUUAACUUCAUUUUAUCCCCUAGAUUAGUAUACGUAUAUUCAGUCCCCAUUUAUUUUAGAUGUAUAGCUUGCAUGACAGUUUUGUUUAAACAGAUUUUUGGGGCAUUUUGCAAUUCUCACAUAUGUUGUUAUCCAUGCACUUACUUUUAUCAUUUCCAGUGUCAAUGCUUACAAAAUUGUUAAAUCUUUUUUUAUUGGAGUUCAGCCAUGUUUUUCACCAAGGAUUCAACUUGCAAGCAUCUGAAUCUUAUGUUGUCC